UCUGAGAUGGCAGAAUAGUGCACCAGAUUUAAGCUCUGUUCAUGAAGGUCUUCCCUUCUCUCAGCA
This 66-nucleotide transfer RNA is filed under the name Pseudorimula sp. RSIO35641. RNAcentral describes it as "tRNA-Leu". It matches the Rfam family "tRNA". Rfam says of the family: Transfer RNA (tRNA) molecules are approximately 80 nucleotides in length. Their secondary structure includes four short double-helical elements and three loops (D, anti-codon, and T loops). The record is from RNAcentral. Lineage: Eukaryota; Metazoa; Mollusca; Gastropoda; Lepetellida; Lepetodrilidae.